RNAcentral lists this transfer RNA (73 nucleotides) under Stegodyphus mimosarum. It matches the Rfam family "tRNA". Rfam says of the family: Transfer RNA (tRNA) molecules are approximately 80 nucleotides in length. Lineage: Eukaryota; Metazoa; Arthropoda; Arachnida; Araneae; Eresidae. The record is from Rfam by way of RNAcentral.
GCUUUCGUGGUGUAGUGGUCAGCACGCUCGGCGGGUAUUCUAGAGAUCCGAGGUUCGAAUCCCGGCGAGGGCA